CACCUUCCCUGAUAGUAAUUUGUUUUCUUCUCCACUUUCAAAAUUAUGUAGACACCUACAGCCUACUUUCUCUCUCAUCACCUUUCAAAUUUCUCUCUCUAUCCAUUGCCCUCUCCAACUCCAAGAAUCAAUUUUCCCUUCCAAUUUUCUCAAAAAAUGCAACCAUGUCCAUGAAUUUCCCCUUAAUCCUCCUCUCCCUCAUCCUCCUCGCAUCAAUUUUCCAUUCCUCCAACACUCUCGCGGAUUCGGUGGCGGCGGAGAAGACCCGGCUCGGCUCGACGCCGCCAAGCUGCCACAACAAAUGCAACGAGUGCCACCCGUGCAUGGCGGUGCAGGUGCCGACGCUGCCGAGCCACAGCCGCGUGGGGCCCGCCGAUUACUCCUCCGCCGGAAACAGGUACUCCAAUUACAAGCCGCUCGGCUGGAAAUGCAGAUGCGCCGGCCAUUUUUACAACCCUUAAUUACAAAUUAAAAAAAAAAUCAUACACUGAAAUUUCAUUUCUAGUCCUUUUAAUUUCCAUUUUAAUUAACAAUCAGAGUAGAAUUGUUUUUUUUUAAUAUUUUUUGGGUGGGUGAUGUUAAGGUGACAAGACAUAUAAUUAAUGUAAGAUGUUUUUUUUUAAAAUAUAUGUAAGCAUUUAUUUUAUUUAGUGUGUAGGUGUCGGAGGCUAUGCUGUUUUUGUACAGUGACUUAUUACGUACUGAUGAAUUCUGAUUUUUCUGAUACUGA
Salvia splendens (bonfire salvia) is the source of this 730-nucleotide long non-coding RNA. RefSeq lists it as uncharacterized. The record is from RefSeq and is a predicted model, not a curated record. Lineage: Eukaryota; Viridiplantae; Streptophyta; Magnoliopsida; Lamiales; Lamiaceae. The transcript is spliced from 2 exons.